This 94-nucleotide transfer RNA is filed under the name Deltaproteobacteria bacterium. Its description in RNAcentral is "tRNA-Sec". It matches the Rfam family "Selenocysteine transfer RNA". Lineage: Bacteria; Pseudomonadati; Myxococcota; Myxococcia. The record is from RNAcentral.
GGAAGCGGAAGGAGGGCUGGUGCCUCUCUUUGACUUCAAAUCAAUAGGCGCAAUAAUUUUGCGCGGUGGGUUCGAUUCCCAUACGCUUCCGCCA